This 446-nucleotide ribosomal RNA is filed under the name uncultured bacterium. RNAcentral's name for it is "bacterial SSU rRNA". It matches the Rfam family "Bacterial small subunit ribosomal RNA", at positions 342 to 807 of the family's 1533-position model. The record is from RNAcentral.
CGGGAGGCAGCAGUUAGGAAUCUUCCGCAAUGGGCGAAAGCCUGAUGGAGCGACGCCGCGUGAGGGAUGAAGGCCCUCGGGUUGUAAACCUCUAAAAGGGGGACGAUAAUGACGGUACCCCUUGAAAAGCACCGGCUAACUCCGUGCCAGCAGCCGCGGUAAUACGGAGGGUGCAAGCGUUAUCCGGAAUCACUGGGCGUAAAGGGCGUGUAGGCGGCCUGUUAAGUCCGAUGUUAAAGACCGGGGCUCAACCCCGGCACGGCGUUGGAUACUGGCAGGCUAGACGGCUGGAGAGGAGAGUGGAAUUACCAGUGUAGCGGUGGAAUGCGUAGAUACUGGUAGGAACACCCAUUGCGAAGGCAGCUUUCUGGACAGCCCGUGACGCUGAGGCGCGAAAGUGUGGGGAGCAAACCGGAUUAGAUACCCGGGUAGUCCACACCCUAAAC